GUGCUUGUUUACAGUGAGUCUGAGGAGCAGAGAUUGUGAAACUGUUCCUGGAUUGAGUUUCACUGCUGCUCUUCAUAUUUAGAUCUUCAUCAGAGUCAGUGAGAAUCACCAGCACACGAUAUUACACUGAAGAAUGUUCCAGAUGGUUCAGUUCUUAGUUCCCUCGGGGUCUAAGAGACCCAGUAACAUCAGCCUAUCUCCCCCGACCGGACAGAACCGGACUCAGAGCGCUUCCAAUGAGUUUCUACAACACGUCCGGAGAGUCAGCGGUCUGAAACAGCAGGACGUGUUUUAUAACCUGCGUGUCCCAAACCAGUGUGAGAGCGACAGAGACGAGAUCAACCUGCUGCUGCUCACAGGUCACGGAGUGUUCUGCAUCGAUCUGAAGACGUGGAGCGGCUCAGUUUCGGUUGCGAGCGAGGUCAGAGCGGAGCAGCAGAACUUCACCAGUGUCUCCAUCCAGCAGCUGCCCGACGCUCUUCAGGCCAUUACAGUGAAAACCAGCAACCUGCACAGUCACAUGAAGCGCUGCGGGCUGAGCCUCCGACCCAGUCUCUUCAUUCCCAGAGUGCUGUUCUUGUCUGCGGAUGGUGUGCUGAGCGAGGAUCUGCUGCAGAAGGAGCAGCUGCUGUCCUGCACAGAUGUGGAGCCGUUCCUGCGCUCGCUGCGCUCGGGAUACAUGUCCUGGCUCUCCGACGCCUUCACGCCGUCCUGGAUCUCAGGUCACCUGUCGUACGGGCAGAUGCGGGCGGUGCGGGAGCGGCUGGAGCUCUUGGGCACCUGGGAUGUGCUGCAGAUGAGCAGCGGUCAGGAGAUCGCCGGAGACUUCCAGGGCUGCCAGCAUCUCGCCCUCAACCGACAGGAAACAGAGCUGCUGGAGUUCAGCAGAACAGGAAGUGUGAUCACUGACACGCUGUGGAGCCUGCUGGGACACACGCCACAGGUCGCUGUCUCUAUGUAUAAGCGAGGAGCGCAGGGGUGGCUGGGUAAACCGCUGAUCGCCACGGCAACCAUCCCCUCCAGCACACGCGUGAUCUUCCGCAUCCGAGGAGAAGCAACGGACGCCAAGAUCCCGGCCGGAAGCAUCCGCUCCAUCACACUGAGCAUCUGAUCCCAACACUGACGCUUUAUUCACUCAGCAAUCAUUCAUUCCAUGUGCUCGAUAGCAGUGAGUAUUAUUCAGAGUAUCGUCACUACUGACACCACUAAUGUCUUUAUCACACGAAUGAACAAGUUUAAAUAUUUCAAAUGUGCUUUAUAUCUUUUUAAUGACAGAAAAUGAUUUAGUGCAGCUUUAAUAUUUGAUAAUUGCUGAGAAAUGUUUUGCCUUUCUAAUCAAACAUGAGCCUGUAUUGUGAACAGAUUUUAAGUUCCAGUUUUCAUGUUUUCAUACUCUUGACAAUCCAGUAAAUCUUCAUGGUAAUUUUUAAAAUGUACUAAUUUCUUUAAAGUGACCUAAAACUCUGAACAUUGAAAGGAUCCUAGUUGGUAUUGUCAUUCUAUGAACAUUUCUUGGCCUUGUUAGUGAGAAUAUUCAGAUGAUGAAGAUAUUUUGAUCUGUUUAAGCCUCAAUAACAUUUUUCUAAUCUCAGUUUUGAGUUAAUUUGAAAUGAGUGAUAUUUCAUGCAAUAAAAUACUUAUUUCUGUCUCA
Long non-coding RNA from Cyprinus carpio (common carp), 1651 nucleotides. NCBI's taxonomy places the organism in Eukaryota, Metazoa, Chordata, Actinopteri, Cypriniformes, Cyprinidae. The record is from Ensembl.